AACGAACGCUGGCGGCAUGCCUAACACAUGCAAGUCGAACGAGACCUUCGGGUCUAGUUGCGCACGGGUGCGUAACGCGUGGGAACCUGCACUUAGGUUCGGAAUAACUCCCCGAAAGGGGUGCUAAUACCGGAUAAUGUCAUAGGACCAAAGAUAUAUCGCCAUGGGAUGGGCGCGCGUUGGAUUAGCUAGUUGGUAGGGUAAAAGCAUACCAAGGCGACGAUCCAUAGCUGGUCUGAGAGGAUGACCAGCUGCAAUGGAACUGCGACACGGCCUAGAAUCGGACGCAGCGCAGCAGUGUAUAGUACUGGACGCGGGGCGAAAGCGUGAUGAAGCAACGCCGGGUGAGUCAGGCUGCCCGUAGUGUUCCAAAGCCCGUUGACACGAGACGAUAGUGACAGUACCGGGAGAAGAAGCUCCGGCUAACUACGUG
Molecule: ribosomal RNA, 433 nt
Filed under: uncultured bacterium
Lineage: Bacteria
Description: partial 16S ribosomal RNA
Rfam family: Bacterial small subunit ribosomal RNA
Source: RNAcentral